RNAcentral lists this transfer RNA (74 nucleotides) under Candidatus Atribacteria bacterium. RNAcentral's name for it is "tRNA-Val". It matches the Rfam family "tRNA". Rfam says of the family: Transfer RNA (tRNA) molecules are approximately 80 nucleotides in length. Lineage: Bacteria; Pseudomonadati; Atribacterota; Atribacteria. The record is from RNAcentral.
GGGCGAUUAGCUCAGUUGGCUAGAGCGCAUCCUUGACGUGGAUGAGGUCACAGGUUCGAGCCCUGUAUCGCCCA